UACGGGGGGGGCAAGCGUUGUUCGGAAUUACUGGGCGUAAAGGGCUCGUAGGCGGUGUGUCGCGUCGGCCGUGAAAACCUGCAGCUUAACUGUGGGCUUGCGGUCGAUACGGGCAUCACUGGAGUUCGGCAGGGGAGACUGGAAUUCCUGGUGUAGCGGUGAAAUGCGCAGAUAUCAGGAGGAACACCGGUGGCGAAGGCGGGUCUCUGGGCAACAACUGACGCUGAGGAGCGAAAGCGUGGGGAGCGAACAGG
RNAcentral lists this ribosomal RNA (254 nucleotides) under uncultured bacterium. RNAcentral describes it as "partial 16S ribosomal RNA". It matches the Rfam family "Bacterial small subunit ribosomal RNA", at positions 524 to 776 of the family's 1533-position model. The record is from RNAcentral.